AGAAUUACUGAAGAAAGAAACAGUGGUUAAUAAGCAGACCAAAACAGGAAGACAGAGAUCUACAAACAUCAAGUUUCGUGCAUUUUGCUACUAAUAUCCACGCUCGUUUCACUUUCCCAAACUCAAUCCCCACUUCAUCGAUUUAACUGUAAUACUAGUACUAUUUCUCUCUCUCUCUUUCUCAAAAGAUAAAAAUGUCGAUCAACGGUGGGGAUCCAACAACUCCUCAUCCGCCGCCGAUGAUCAGAAAGACCGGACCUUACACAGUCUUCGUUACUCCUCCCCAAACCCCUAAACCCUCUUCCUCCCAUUCACAUCACCAACAAUCACCUCUCUCCGAUUCUCCGGUAAUUCAGCCGCCACCAGCUCAAUCUCCUCCACCCGUUCUUCCGCCACCGGUGCACUACAAUCCUAAGUCCGAAGCCUCAUCCUUUGCUUUCUUCUGGAAUGCCGUUGCCAAAGUCCAAAACGGUAUCCCCUUCCUCUCAUCUUGUAAAAUCUCUGGUUAAUUUUGGACUUUGUUAGACCAAAGUGGCAUCUGUUAGUCAAAAUAUUCCUCACCCACCCACUCAAAAAAGUAUUCCUCACC
RNAcentral lists this long non-coding RNA (589 nucleotides) under Panax ginseng (ginseng). RNAcentral describes it as "long non-coding RNA (PGIN_LNC015496)". The record is from RNAcentral. Lineage: Eukaryota; Viridiplantae; Streptophyta; Magnoliopsida; Apiales; Araliaceae.